Cicer arietinum (chickpea) is the source of this 318-nucleotide non-coding RNA. The record is from RefSeq and is a predicted model, not a curated record. Lineage: Eukaryota; Viridiplantae; Streptophyta; Magnoliopsida; Fabales; Fabaceae.
GGACGGUGACAUGGUUCAUGGAAUGAAACUUUCGUGUUCCCCUAGAUUGACACUUGACUUGUAGAUUGCAUAGGCGAGGUAGUCACUAUGCCAGGAAAAUGUUCACUUUGUCUUUCAAAAUUUUGUGCAAUUCUACAAGGAUAGUUUCAAUCACAUGAUGUUUUUUAGUACUCGGUUAUUUGUGAAGGCUGCUAGAUUUAUCUUUCAAAUAUUUGCAUCGUUUCACUCUUCUUAACAAAGUUGUUUUGGUCAAGAUAUUAUAUCAGUUUCUUUUGUAAGAUAAAAGAUCAUUGGAAUUAUAAGAUGGAUGAGUUGAUA